RNAcentral lists this ribosomal RNA (462 nucleotides) under Streptococcus australis. RNAcentral describes it as "bacterial SSU rRNA". It matches the Rfam family "Bacterial small subunit ribosomal RNA", at positions 28 to 474 of the family's 1533-position model. Lineage: Bacteria; Bacillati; Bacillota; Bacilli; Lactobacillales; Streptococcaceae. The record is from RNAcentral.
GAUGAACGCUGGCGGCGUGCCUAAUACAUGCAAGUAGAACGCUGAAGGAGGAGCUUGCUCUUCUGGAUGAGUUGCGAACGGGUGAGUAACGCGUAGGUAACCUGCCUGGUAGCGGGGGAUAACUAUUGGAAACGAUAGCUAAUACCGCAUAACAGUAGAUAUUGCAUGAUAUCUGCUUGAAAGGUGCAAUUGCAUCCCUACCAGAUGGACCUGCGUUGUAUUAGCUAGUUGGUGAGGUAACGGCUCACCAAGGCGACGAUACAUAGCCGACCUGAGAGGGUGAUCGGCCACACUGGGACUGAGACACGGCCCAGACUCCUACGGGAGGCAGCAGUAGGGAAUCUUCGGCAAUGGACGGAAGUCUGACCGAGCAACGCCGCGUGAGUGAAGAAGGUUUUCGGAUCGUAAAGCUCUGUUGUAAGAGAAGAACGAGUGUGAGAGUGGAAAGUUCACACUGUGACG